Molecule: ribosomal RNA, 433 nt
Filed under: uncultured bacterium
Lineage: Bacteria
Description: bacterial SSU rRNA
Rfam family: Bacterial small subunit ribosomal RNA
Source: RNAcentral
UGAGGAAUAUUGGUCGAUGGGCGGGAGCCUGAACCAGCCAAGCCGCGUGGAGGAAGAAGGUACAGAGUAUCGUAAACUCCUUUUGUCAGGGGAUAAAAGGCGCCACGAGUGGCGUUCUGAAGGUACCUGAAGAAAAAGCAUCGGCUAACUCCGUGCCAGCAGCCGCGGUAAUACGGAGGAUGCGAGCGUUAUCCGGAUUUAUUGGGUUUAAAGGGUGCGUAGGCGGUCUUUUAAGUCAGCGGUGAAAGCCCGGGGCUCAACCCCGGCGAGCCGUUGAUACUGGGAGACUGGAGAGGAAGAGAGGCAUGUGGAAUUCGCGGUGUAGCGGUGGAAUGCUUAGAUAUCGCGAAGAACUCCGAUUGCGAAGGCAGCAUGCUGGCUUCUGUCUGACGCUGGGGCACGAAAGCGUGGGGAUCGAACAGGAUUAGAUACC